GAUGAACGCUGGCGGCGUGCCUAAUACAUGCAAGUCGAGCGAACAGAUAAGGAGCUUGCUCCUUUGACGUUAGCGGCGGACGGGUGAGUAACACGUGGGUAACCUACCUAUAAGACUGGGAUAACUUCGGGAAACCGGAGCUAAUACCGGAUAACAUUUGGAACCGCAUGGUUCUAAAGUGAAAGAUGGUUUUGCUAUCACUUAUAGAUGGACCCGCGCCGUAUUAGCUAGUUGGUAAGGUAACGGCUUACCAAGGCGACGAUACGUAGCCGACCUGAGAGGGUGAUCGGCCACGCUGGAACUGAGGCACGGUCCAGACUCCUACGGGAGGCAGCAGUAGGGAAUCUUCCGCAAAGGGCGAAAGCCUGACGGAGCAACGCCGCGUGAGUGAUGAAGGGUUUCGGCUCGUAAAACUCUGUUAUUAGGGAAGAACAAAUGUGUAAGUAACUGUGCACGUCUUGACGGUACCUAAUCAGAAAGCCACGGCUAACUACGUG
This 497-nucleotide ribosomal RNA is filed under the name uncultured bacterium. RNAcentral describes it as "partial 16S ribosomal RNA". It matches the Rfam family "Bacterial small subunit ribosomal RNA", at positions 28 to 507 of the family's 1533-position model. The record is from RNAcentral.